RNAcentral lists this ribosomal RNA (497 nucleotides) under uncultured bacterium. RNAcentral's name for it is "partial 16S ribosomal RNA". It matches the Rfam family "Bacterial small subunit ribosomal RNA", at positions 28 to 507 of the family's 1533-position model. The record is from RNAcentral.
GAUGAACGCUGGCGGCGUGCCUAAUACAUGCAAGUCGAGCGAACAGACGAGGAGCUUGCUCCUCUGACGUUAGCGGCGGACGGGUGAGUAACACGUGGAUAACCUACCUAUAAGACUGGGAUAACUUCGGGAAACCGGAGCUAAUACCGGAUAAUAUAUUGAACCGCAUGGUUCAAUAGUGAAAGACGGUUUUGCUGUCACUUAUAGAUGGAUCCGCGCCGCAUUAGCUAGUUGGUAAGGUAACGGCUUACCAAGGCAACGAUGCGUAGCCGAACUAAGAGGGUGAUCGGCCACACUGGAACUGAGACACGGUCCAGACUCCUACGGGAGGCAGCAGUAGGGAAUCUUCCGCAAUGGGCGAAAGCCUGACGGAGCAACGCCGCGUGGGGGAUGGAGGUCUUCGGAUCGUAAAACUCUGUUAUUAGGGAAGAACAAAUGUGUAAGUAACUAUGCACGUCUUGACGGUACCUAAUCAGAAAGCCACGGCUAACUACGUG